Aethalodelphis obliquidens (Pacific white-sided dolphin) is the source of this 511-nucleotide long non-coding RNA. RefSeq lists it as uncharacterized. The transcript is spliced from 2 exons. The record is from RefSeq and is a predicted model, not a curated record. Lineage: Eukaryota; Metazoa; Chordata; Mammalia; Artiodactyla; Delphinidae.
CGCUGAGCCUGCGCGUCCGGAGCCUGUGCCCCGCAACGGGAGAGGCCACGACAGUGAGAGGCCCGCGUACCGAAAAAAAAAAAACAAAAAAAAAAACCUCUUGGCAAUAAAGAGGGCCUAUUAUGACCUAUUUAUCAAGUGUUUCAGAAUCACUUGCACGAAUAUUUUGUCCUAAAUUCUGUAUAAUUAGAAGAUAUAAACCCUACUCUGGGGUUAUUUUUGUGCACCAACAUAACCUAAAUUAGAACUCUCUCCAUGAAGGCUUUUAAAAAAGAAAUCAUCGGGACAAAAAACAUGAAGGAAUUGACUUUGUCUUCACUGUUCUCAAAUGCUUGAAAAUACUGUUUCUGCCGAAGAAACCUGGAAACCUUGUUGACUGAUUUGCAGACCCUUUCCCUUCACCAAGAGCAGAAGGUGCAACGAAUUGGAGAAGCCAUAGUCCUUGGGUCAUGGUGUGCAGCCUUCACUGGUCCUGCAGGCGCCUCUUUUCUGUUUAGUUACUUAUUUUUUU